RNAcentral lists this ribosomal RNA (452 nucleotides) under uncultured bacterium. Its description in RNAcentral is "bacterial SSU rRNA". It matches the Rfam family "Bacterial small subunit ribosomal RNA", at positions 29 to 477 of the family's 1533-position model. The record is from RNAcentral.
AACGAACGCUGGCGGCGUGCCUAACACAUGCAAGUCGUGCGAGAAAGUUCCUUCGGGAGCGAGUAAAGCGGCGCACGGGUGAGUAACACGUAGGUAACCUGCCCCCCAGUCUGGAACAACUAGAGGAAACUCUAGCUAAUGCCGGAUGAGACCACGAUCCCUUCGGGGGUUGCGGCCAAAGAUGGCCUCUACUUGUAAGCUAUCGCUGAGGGAUGGGCCUGCGGGCCAUUAGCUUGUUGGUGAGGUAACGGCUCACCAAGGCUGUGAUGGCUAGCUGGUCUGAGAGGAUGACCAGCCACACUGGGACUGAGACACGGCCCAGACUCCUACGGGAGGCAGCAGUGGGGAAUAUUGCGCAAUGGGCGAAAGCCUGACGCAGCGACGCCGCGUGGGUGAUGAAGGCCUGGUCGUAAGCCGUACGUCGCAGGGAAGGAAGUAAAGACGAUACGGUA